CUAAGCUUCAGAUCACAUUGGACCGUACCGUAAACCGACACUGGUGGGUGAGCAGAUAAUCUGCCAAGGCGCUUGAGAGAACUCGGGUUAAGGAACUCUGCAAAUUGAUACCGUAACUUCGGAAGAAGGUAUGCCUUCGACGGUGUAGGGAUUUACUCCCGAAGCUGUUGAAGGUCGCAGGUAAUCGGUGGCUGCGACUGUUUAUCAAAAACACAGGACUCUGCGAACACGCAAGUGGAAGUAUAGGGUCUGACGCCUGCCCGGUGCCGGAAGGUUAAUUGAUGGGGUUAGCCGCAAGGCGAAGCUCUUGAUCGAAGCCCCGGUAAACGGCGGCCGUAACAAUAACGGUCCUAAGGUAGCGAAAUUCCUUGUCGGGUAAGUUCCGACCUGCACGAAUGGCGUAACGCUGGCCACACUGUCUCGACCCGAGACUCAGUGAAGUUGAAAUCGCUGUGAAGAUGCGGCGUUCCCGCGGCAAGACGGAAAGACCCCGUGAACCUUCACUACAGCUUUACACUGAACUUUGAACCUUUCUGUGUAGGAUAGGUGGGAGGCUAUGAAACUUGGGCGCUAGCUCGAGUGGAGCCAACCUUGAAAUACCACCCUGGGAUGUUUGAAGUUCUAACCUUGGUCCGUAAUCCGGAUUGGGGACAGUGUAUGGUGGGUAGUUUGACUGGGGCGGUCUCCUCCCAAAGAGUAACGGAGGAGUGCAAUGGUACGCUCAGCGCGGUCGGUCAUCGCGCUCUAGAGUGCAAAGGCAUAAGCGUGCUUAACUGUGAGACAGACACGUCGAACAGGUACGAAAGUAGGUCUUAGUGAUCCGGUGGUUCUGUAUGGAAGGGCCAUCGCUCAACGGAUAAAAGGUACUCCGGGGAUAACAGGCUUAUUCCUCCCAAGAGUCCACAUCGACGGAGGAGUUUGGCACCUCGAUGUCGGCUCAUCACAUCCUGGGGCUGUAGCAGGUCCCAAGGGUAUGGCUGUUCGCCAUUUAAAGUGGUACGCGAGCUGGGUUCAGAACGUCGUGAGACAGUUCGGUCCCUAUCUGCCGUGGGCGUUGGAAACUUGAGGGUGAGCUGUCCUUAGUACGAGAGGACCGGGAUGGACGUAUCUCUGGUGUUCCGGUUGUCACGCCAGUGGCACUGCCGGGUAGCUAUAUACGGACGGGAUAAGCGCUGAAAGCAUCUAAGCGCGAAGCCCCCCCCAAGAUUAGGUUUCCCUGGGAACUCGAUUCCCCUAAAGGGCCGUCGGAGACUACGACGUUGAUAGGCUGGGUGUGUAAGUGCAGCAAUGCAUUGAGCUAACCAGUACUAAUUGCCCGUGAGGCUUGA
RNAcentral lists this ribosomal RNA (1328 nucleotides) under metagenome. RNAcentral describes it as "bacterial LSU rRNA". It matches the Rfam family "Bacterial large subunit ribosomal RNA", at positions 1621 to 2925 of the family's 2925-position model. The record is from RNAcentral.